Molecule: long non-coding RNA, 11396 nt
Organism: Chroicocephalus ridibundus (black-headed gull)
Lineage: Eukaryota; Metazoa; Chordata; Aves; Charadriiformes; Laridae
Exons: 5
Source: RefSeq, a predicted model, not a curated record
CCAAUCUGGUGGGCUCAGAGCAUACCAGAAAAGGAGAGUCAUUCUUUUACCCUUUCCUACAUUUUCCAUGGCUCCUGGAAUUUCACAACCUAGGAUCUGGGAUUGCUAAUGGUGUUUUUCAAGCUCAUUUCAAAGAAAAUUAAACCUUCUGAGAAUCAGUAGACAAAGUAAAGGCUGGAGCCUGAAAACAGUGAAGUCGACGUGAGGCCUGUCCCUGCCAGGUUUACAGGAUCAGCCCAUAUGUCUCACAGGAUGGGAAAUAGCAACAUCGUGACGAUGCCAGAGGUGACAAAUCUGAAAUGUAAAUCUGGUGGCAUAGGCUGGAUUUGACACAACCCACAAGAUCACUGCAGCUGGUGAUGCUAAAUGUGUUGGGGGUUAGAACCUCAAAAGGACAAAGAGGCCACAGCACAAGUGUUGCAAUGCCCAGCCUGUAUGUGCCCUGCAUUGUAGUGACCAAUUAGGCUCCACGUUUUCGUAUGGCAAACGGGAGAGGGAACACUUGUGCAUGGCCUUCCCUUGGUCUCUGAACUGAAAAAAUGACUGUCCCGUCAUGUUGUCCCACAAUACGAACAAACAUGAUGGAAAAAAAGAACUCUUUCCUGAAAAGUCUGUGAGAAAUUCAAGAAUGGGAAAUGGCAAGACAUAUUACAGCAGCCGGUGUAAGUCAGAGAAGGGUAGUUAUAAUGGAGUGUAAGUAAACAUAUCUGCAGUAAAAGUGAGUGGCUUCUUUAUUUUCAUCAGAACAUUAAGCAGAAAUUGAAGGAACAUUUUUCCCUAAUAUUCUCCAGCUGGCAUAUUAUGACCUCAACUUGCUCACUCUGUGCCACACUGGAAUAGCUUUAAUGGUGUACGUGGGUACAACUAAACAAUACAUUACUUGUAAUGUCUUAAGUAACCUAGCAAAGCAUGGUACCCAAUUGCUGAAAUGCUGUUGUGUAUCUUUCAGAGUCUACUUUGUUACCCCCAGGAGACCAAACCCUGAACUGGAAACUCUUUACUGCUAAUUUCUUUCUAUCAAUUUUAUAUAGCCCAGUGAAAGAAGGAUAUUUCUUCUAACUCUAUGUCAUCAGAGCGCCUGUUGUUUAGAUGCGAAUGCUGGAGACGGCAGGGUUUACAAUGACCCCUAGUUCUCCAUUUUACUUUCUGAUGGUCUGUUAGCAUGUGUGUCUUCAAAUGCUCCACUGACUGACUUAGAUACAAAAGAGGGUUUUUACACCAUCUGCUUAAGACUAUAUCAGAGCCCCUAAGUUUGGGACCUGAGUUUUCUGUAGUCUCUCUUCACAGCUAUUCAAUGUGCCUAAGUUAGCUGAGUUAGUGGGGAUACCCAAAAGAUCCCAGUGCAGCCAUAGUAUUUGUGGGACAGGGAAAACAGAGGCAAUAUACUUGGAUUACAGAAGUACAUGUACAUCAGAGUGUUACUGUUCAAAACGUUAAAUAUUAUAUGAGCUUGGAUCCGGUUGUUUCUUUCUUCCUUUCUGCCACUUUAAUCUUUGUCUGUCCUAAAUAAAAGGUUACUUACUGUUUCCAAUUUCUUUCAGCUGUUAGGAGAUUGUAUAAAGCAACUGAACUGUUGAUAUCCAACAAAUCCAGCUCCUGUCCAAAGAAACUAGACACCUUGUUUGUAGAACGUCAUAUCUGACAGGGCUAGAUUAGCAGCUCUGAGCCUGUUGACUCAGUCUUAUUAGAUCUGUGUGCUAACGAAAUAAACAUUCGAAAGAGAACCCAUAGCAAUUUAUAAGGUAGAUACUCGCCAGCAGUGCAAAGGCAAAGUAUAACAAACACGGGAAGCUCAACUCCACAUUAGCGUGAAGAAGCAGCGUGAUGAAUCGGACACCCUCCCCACAUGCACACAGCUUCGUUACGCAUGUGAAGACCUAUCUGCUUACUUGUGUACAGAGUUUUCUCUUGCCUUUUCAGCUGUUCAGAAUAAAAGCAAGCUUGUGACGGUCACACUCCACGUGCCUCUAAGGCAGCUCUUGCUAGACGAGGGAGCUCCAUUGCAAAAGGCGCACAGCAGAGUGUGGGCUUUGGGCUUGGCAUGCUCUGAGACCCCCCAUCUCCUCUCUCUAUCACUCUGGCACUCCUGUGACUCAGGAUUUUCGGCAGCUUUCCUAAAGCACCAUGCAUUAGAAACCUGUAAGAGGAAAACACAUGCUGUUAAUUUUUUUUGUAUUACUCAAAGUAUGUUUGCACUGGUAAAGAAAACUCUAACUCCAUUUUAAGCAUAUUGUCAACAUUGCAAUGGUUCAGAAUUGUUUUAAAACCAACAGAUCCAUCCACCUGAGCACAGGGUUAUAUAGCACACUUCACUCAAUCUAAAAGUAAGCUGCCACAAAAAAGAGUCUCCUUUUUACGGUCCUCCUAGACUUCUCCCUUUGUACUGGCUUUGGCACUUGUCCACCUCUGGAGUGAACUGAUUCAGCUCACUAAACUGACAGAAAAAUGUUUGGUUACUUAGUUAUCAUUAUUCACCUCUUUGCAAAUGUUAAUUUUAUGAUGAUUCAACUCCCUAAACCUGGUUUCUGUGGGAUCAGGUAAGUCCCAGAGACAGCGCCAGGAAGUAGCAGAAGCACAUGGCUGGGACCAGGGAGGAAGGGGACAAAGCCUGCUACUCUAGUGGCUCAGUAGUGACACAAAACUUUUCCCUCUGCCUCUCUUCUGCCCAUGGUGAUUCCCAGGAGACGCAUGGUUUGCCUUGGCACUUCUAGGUUGCAUUCUUUCUUGUUGCCCUCACAGAUGGUAUAGUUAAAGAACAAGAACACAACCAUGUUUUGAUCGCUUUCUGGUUGUCUGGGAGUUCAUGGGAUCAGAGAGCGUGAAAUUUGCCCCAAGCACCUCUGCUUGGGGCAAAUUUCUGCCUCAAUUUCUCUAACCAUGCCAAAUGUGCCUGGGUUUCUUUCUGAAUAUAUCUACGGCAAUACUGUGAGUAGCAACACUAUAUUUAUAAGAAGUGAGAGAACAUCAAACAUCAAAACAAUAUAAACUGUCAUUUACUAGUUUCUGUGAAAAUGCUGAAAUGAUGUUUUAGGAAAACUGCAUUGUUUCAGUAUUUCAGAAUUCACUGAAUACUGAAUAGCAGUCACUAUUCAGUUGACUAAACAAAGUUGGAAGUUGGCUUUUCCAAUGCAUAAGGAGUCCCACCUGGCGUCCAGCUUCCACUCUUAAAGGUCUCAGGACUGUGUCACAUCUGCAGUCCCCAUGUGGAUGUCUCAGAUAACCCCAAGGUCAUCUCAAAUUGCACUGAGUUUUUCGCAACUGUUUUGAAUCCCAUGGUCUGUUACUGAGAUUCAGGUACUCAGGUCAUGUGUCAACAGCUACACGUAGAUGUCUACAUCCAUGUGUCUUAAACUGAACCCCAUCCCGAAAGCUCAGCUUCUUUCUUAAACAUAGGUUCCUAGUGCCAUUUUAGAGGUUCUAGAGUAUCUCAGCUAGCUACAUGGGGGUGCCAGAUAUAACAUAGGAUAUAUGAAAGACAUCUGUGCCCUCCUGCAGUGGCAGCUGGAAUCAAAGGAUCUCUGAGAUGGCACUAGAUCUUUAGACAAAUGAAUUGAGUCGUCCAGAGUCAUCAGUAGGGUAUCUGAAAGGAGUCAUCCCAAAAUAUAGCAGCCUAAACACUUUUCACAAGUGUGUUGGUUUUUCUUUUUCUGGACUAUUUUUCCUCAAAUAAUUUGGGCAUCUCUUUCUCCUAGCUCCAUGCCCACAAAUGGGUGAAUACCCACACUUUUCCCACCUGCUUCAAAUUCCUGGAGCCCCAGCCUGCAGUCCCUCAUCUCCCUUUGCAGGUGUAUGCUGCUCAAGGCAUACCUAUUUCUUGGUGAGCUGGGGCUGUGGCUGGGGAGCUGUCAGGAAAACACCCUUGUACCUCAAGCUGCAUCCAAUCUGUUCCCAGCUGUGCUUGCUGGUGACGCCUCAAAGGAAACUUUCUCCUUUCACGUGGCUUCAAAAGAAGACAUGGAGAAAAUGCAAGGGAAAAGGAAGGACAUAGGCCAGCUGACAUAUUCUUAGAGGCUUCAUGUAUAUAUUGCACACCCUCCUGACGUUGUCUACCUUGACAGUUGAGAAUCGGCAAUUUAGAACUAGAAAUACAGAAACACUGCAGGAAGCACAACAGGGAAACAAAGAGUAUAUUACUUUCUUAAUCACCGCUGUCUCUUAUUUGAAAUUAAGGAAUGUAUGAAACUGCAUAUAUGUUUUUUCCCUCCAUGGAAUUCAAACUAUAUUGCGUAUGUGAUAAAAAUGACUUUCCCGUAAUAAUUUACUUUCCCAUUCACAUCAAUAUUCAUACCCUAGUGUACGGCUUUAAACAGAUUUUUCCAUUGCAUCUGUCCACAGAGCAAACAAAUCUUUAUGCAUGUUCUUCAAUUAACUUUACUUGGAGCAGACUCCAUUAACAUGUAAAUGAAAAGUCACUCUGGCCUGGUCUACAAUGCCCUAGAAAGUUUCAUUGGCCUAUUUGGUUACAAUUAUGAAGAAAUCAUACCUUUAACAAACAGAGCUAAACUGCCAAAAGCAGUAUAUGAUGUGGUUACGGUAAGAACUGAUUUAAUUUACUAUUGUCUCCCCUCUUGGAAAGCAGCGUUUCAUUAGUUGUAUAACUAUGAGAAAACUUUAAAGCCCAGUUAUCUACACUUUGUCAGCUCAGCAACAAAAAAAUAGUCCAUAAAUGUAACAAAGCCACAAUUCUUUUUAAAGGCUAGCAAAUGCUAUAAAAGUUCACUUCAAACCAGCAUUGUGGUUGUUAUGAUGUUAAAAGCUAUAUUGCUCUACCCUCACUGUUGUUGAUAAUCAGUGGGGACUAGAGUUACUGUUUUGCUAAACACUAUUUCAGACCUUAACUGUGAUUACAGUAAGCAAGUUAGCACCUGCCAAAACUUAUAGUUCUGCUAAUGAAAAAAUUCACACAAAGCACCGGAUUUAGCCGCAAACCACUUUUCAGCAUCAAUCUACUUCUUUCACAGGUCAUCACAGGUUAUGAGAGAGCUUGGGAUGUAAAAUUAUUUGUGAAAUAUUUUCCAUCUAGUAAUUCAUUGUGUAUAGCUCUGCAUAUUAUCCCUAAUGAUUUAAUGUGCCACUGAAUAAGCCUAUCUCCAUUAUUCAUCAUGAUUUUCACAACCUUUCUUUCUGCAGCCUUCUCCAACAAUUUAAUAUCACUCGUAAAGUAAAUAUCCUCCCCAAAUAGUUAUUUAUUUCAUGAAGGAAAGGCCAGAGUCAAAAAUCCUUUAGCUAACCACAGUAGUGAGGUACAACAUAAGAAAAUCCUGGAUGUUUGGGUUGAAGACGUCCCCUGGUGAUUUUGCCUUCUUUUUUGGGACAAACCUAUUUCUACACACCAAAAGGUAGCCUAUGCCCUCCUUCACUGGUUUUUUGUUCCUUCAGGUGGCAGUUUAUUUUUAAAAGCCGAGCGUGCAGCUCUGUGGGAGCGGUGCUGCCCUUCUGUGCAGCACGGACCUGCCGAGGAACGAACGUUCCCCUCAUGUUCUCCAGACACGCACGUGCCCCACAGCUCAAGGGUCCACCUGGGAAGUGCUGGGCUCUCCUAAACAUUGCUGCAGGUAUUGCUGAUGUGUUUUGUUGUUGUUUUUUGGGGGUUUUUUUAAGCGAUGCAGCUCUCAGCCUCUGCAAAAUAAGAAUCUGCCUGGAAAAAUUGACCAUCCUUCGAUCGACCAUAUGUGAAUUUACAGUAUGUUAAAUCCUGAGUCACUCAGACAGGCUGUCUGGUGAGUACUCACAAACCAUACCCCAUCCACCAAUCAGUUUUUGAUACAUGACAGAAUGUUUUGUUUUCAGUCUGCUGUCAUUAGUAUUUGGCAGAAUACUAACUUCUUGAGCCAGAAGCUUUUUGGAAGUCAAGGUGAAUUAUACCUACUUGGAUUCCUAGCUAAACCUGUGUGGCUUCCUUCCUGGAUUUCUGCGGUGCUGCAAAAGUAAAAAUUACACCGAGAGAAGCUGUGAAGAUCAAUUUAAAAAUGUAUCAUAUAUUUAUAGCAAUAAUACCUGGGUAGUUUUAAAAAGGUCCUUUAAUGGCUGCUUAUGGAAAUGGUUUUAGACAAUUUCAGUGGCACUAAAGCACUGUUCUCUUUUCUGUAAUUCCCAAGGUCAUCUUUUGUUCUUUCUUUCUUUCUUUCUUUCGAUAAAAAUCAAUCCUCGGGAAUGGCUUCUGCUAUUAGAGGUAUAUUACAUAUUUUAGUUAGUAGUUCAGCUACUUUUUGUUUUUCCCUUUUAAAACUCUCAAAUGAAUGCUAUCCAGCCCCAGGGAUUUUCUACCAUUAACUUUAUCUAGUUGCUCUAAUGCCUCAUCUUCAGAGGCCACUCUCUCUGACAAUGCCUCAUCUGUAAAAAUUAACCUUGAGUUAGAAAUGUCUGCCUCAUCCUCAUUAGUGAAGACUGAUUACAAAGAAUUCAUGUAAUUUCUUCACAAUCUCUUCAUCCUUUUUAAUUACAACUUUAGUGGUCCAGUUGACCUAGACACUUAUUUAGUGUGUUCUUCCUGAUACAGUUAAAGAAUUUCUUACUGGUGGUUUUAAUGCGUUUUGACUAUUAGUCUUCUUAAAAAACUUCAUUGAAAAUUAUAAUUCAAUCUAUACGAAAAUGGUUUUUCCUCAUGAGAGGUCUAGCUGCUUAUAACAAGUUUGAUAUCUGGUUUUUCUUUUGCAUAACUUUCUUAAGAGGAGCGUUAAGCAGCCAGAGCAGCGGACACUCAGGGACAUUGCCCACCAUGACAUCUGUCGUUCAGGUCAACGCUAGCAAGAAUUUUGGGAACCACAAACACAAACACCACUUGGAGGAAAGGGAUCCUUUCUGUCCACACCAUCCAGCAAGAUGCAUCAACAUUAGGAAACACGUGCUGGAUCCCAGCUGGAGCCAGGUACCACCUGCAGGGCAUUCUGUAAAAGCUGGCUUUGUCUAAGUGCACAACAGGCGCCUCCAUUUGGUUAACCUUCCUGCCUUCCCUUUCUUGAUUAUAUUUUUUUACAGCUUAGAAAUCAACACUUUCGUCUCAAAUUUUUGUAUUAUGAAUGAAGAUAAAAAAUUUUACUGUGUUUGGUCAUUGUAUAUUCCCUGCUAACUUUGAAAUCCUUUAAGAAAAGAAAUGGUCUGAGUGGUACCUGUGCAGACCCAGUCACGUCUUCACAUCUGAUCGGUUUUUAGAGAGAAAUUCUGCAUUGUUAAUAGAGGUUGCAUAAGGGGAGCGAGAAACCUCUUUUAUCUACACCUAACUAUCACAGGGUACCCUGAAUAAGGAUGUCUUUUUUUAUUUUCUGUGUGAAAUUGUAUCUUGCCCAGCAUUUCUGGGAGAUCCACUUCCCCAAGCCAUUCCUACUUUGUGACAAUUGCAUACCACUGAAUAAGGUUUCAUAAUAGUUUGUAAUACCUCUUACCUGAGCGACAUAAUUAUAUAGUUUCAUGUAUUCCAAUACUUUCCAUUUGGGAAAAUAGAAUGCUGAGACAUUCACCUUUACUCAUAUUUCCAGCAGUAACUGCUUGUCAUGUCUCUAAACACAGACACCUAACGUACACAUAAUAGAAGGAGAAAUGUUGAUACUAAUAUUUACUGUACCUAUUCAAGAAUAUUUUAUCCCUACAUGUUCUGCAAGGGCUUUUGUUCUUUAAAAAUAGUUGCAUAAAACUAUAUUCUAAUUUUUUUCUUUAAAUUUUUCAUACAUUCUUCCUGCGUGUAUUUUUAAUAUUCAAAUUUACUUUUCACAGGAAUCCAGAUUUGCACAUUUCUGAUUUAUCCAAAAGAAUUAAAAAUACAGAAACUGAACCGAAUGUUUAUAUUUAGAAAUUUGUUUUUAAGAAGGAAACUCAGCCUUGAAGAAAACGCAGAACAUGUACUUCAGAGAAGACUGUAUUACACUCUGACUUUGAUCUGUUCUAGCUGUUAGUCUUCUAUAUUACUCUGCUGUUCUCUGUAAAUCUGUCUUUGACCUUGACCUCAUGUUAAUCACACCGUAGCUCUAUUCCUUAAUGUUUAGUAACCUGUUGUUUUUAAUACCUAGUGCUCUCUUUGGCUGGCUUUUAGGUGUUCUACUGCUUUAUACUAGCCAUCUAAAUAUUUACUGGCAGAUAAGAAGUAUGACUCUACAUGCUGAUUGGGAUUUUUUCUGGGAGUAGGUACUUCUGUAUCAACACUGUGUCCCAACUCAUCUGGGUAUGGAAGCAAAGAGGCAGUUCUCCUGCUCUUCCCCUUCCCCAGCCUAGAGAUUUCACCUUCAACAUGAAGGGCAGAUUUCUACAAGUAUGAUACAUACAUUAACAAAGCAGUGUAUUUUGCUGAAAAAAAAUCAUUGCUGGUUGAAGUAGUCCCUAGGUUUUCUUUGAUUCUGCAUCUUUCAUUGCUCAUUUUUGGCUAUGCAGGCUAGCAGCAAAAUGCCAUGGAAGCAUAAGGAAUCCAUCCCGGCUGAGGCAGUGCAGUUACUCGUGCUGUCUAGCUGCAUUUAGCAGGGCUGUAUUGACAAUAGCCAAACCAUCUGAUUGAGAGCUGUCAGGAACACUGUUGGUUAUAGAAUCACAGAAUUAUAGAAUUUUCUAGGUUAGAAGGGACCUUUCAGAUCAUCGAGUCCAACCAUUAUGAUACCACAUUGCAGCUCAUGUGUUUUUUUUUCUUUAUACAAUACACAUAACUUUUUAUGUAGACAUUUUAACUCUGUUUCAAGGUUGUUGUCAGUUUUAAGAAUAAAUUUUUGAGAUACUCAAGACCAAUUAUUUUCAUUUUAAUCUUAUUCAGAUUAUUUGGUCUCUAUUGUGUCACAUUGGGAGACAUCUCUGUGUUCGGGAUUUGAGUAGUCAUGCACUUUUACGCGUGAAGGCAGUUCACCUGUUAAAAGAAAACACCUUAAUGAAAUUGUUUAAGCUCUAUUUAAAAACUGCAACCUUAUUGAUAGCUAUUGAGAUGCCAAGAAACUAGAGGCUAGACUGAAGUCACAGAGACUUGCAAAGGGACUUGACCCGAGCUCAUACCUGUGGGACUGCAGUUUCCACUGCUGAUAUAUAGCACAGUAGUCCACUUUGAGAACUAUUAUCAUAAUUCAGAACAGUCUUCUCUAAAGUGGGAAAAUGCUUUAUGCUCCCCCUAAGAGUGAGGAGAGUAUUGAAUUAGGGUCUUCCACAGCCUCAACCAGUGCUCCAUCAACCAGGCUGUUGCUUAAAGCAAAGACCGAUAAUUUUAAACAGAAGAGUGAGUUUGGCUCUGCUGCUAGAAGGAAAGUGUACGGGACCAACACUUCAGCAGGGAGUUGAAGACUGUGGGGGCUGAGCUGUCUUUUCAUGUCCCCAGUUGCAAGGACGGACACCAAGCAUUCGAACUAGCCUCAGAGGCACCCAAAGCCUUGAUGGGGCUAGCUCUUCUCUUGAUUGCCUUCUCACCAAGAAGAUGAAAAUGUGAAUUGGUGUCUUUGCCAUCCUUUUAUACCAUCAGUCCCAAAUCUCCUGUUGGUUGAGGUCCAAUUCUGCCACCUCUUUGAGCAGCACCUUAAUGCACAAGUAGAACCGCUGAAUUCAAUGUGACUAAUGGUGCAGUAAAGUACUAAUCAGUUUGAAUAAUGGCAGCAGAAUAGGGCCCUCGGUAGUAAGAAUUAAUCAUACCAGAUCUUUGAAACUGAUUUUUUCAUUGUACAGCUGAGCUGACAGAACAGAUGAAAGGAAAAGAGACAAUACUCAGGAGCAUAGUUACUGAUAAAUAAUUACAACAAGGACAUUAUAAUUAUUUAAUUAAAAUUUGUGCAUGGGGAGAGAUUAUGAGUCUUUCAGCUUGCUGCCUCAUUUAGAUGAUACUAGUCAUUAACCAAUUUUGCUGUAGUCAGCUACUAAAUGUCCACACAGCCUGCCUUAUUUUUUAAACCUCUUCAAUCAGCAAAACUGGCUGCAUGCACUGUGUAAUGCUACUGAAGAACAAAGUGCCACACUUAGGACUAUAAUUAAAGGCAGUCUCAAGUUUUUAAAGGAAACUUGUACUUUAAUUAAUCAAGACCAUCAAAUAAACAGGAACAGUAGAGUGUUUAUCUCUGCUUCUGAAGUUAUUAAUUACCGAACCACACAGAGAUCACUGUGGAGUUGACAAUGCCCCUGUAAUUUUUCCUACUGAAGUUAUUUUGUUCCUUCCCUUAGUGUCAUUUUCUACUGGCUUUUGUCUGGGAAUAUAAACAUCACAGACAUUUAAUGUGUCAGAACAGUGGUAUCUACACCACAAUAAAAGAUACGUUUUCAAGAUCACCUUCCCCAGCAAUUUCUUCACAUCUACUAAUUUUCUAGUUCAGGUCUGUCUUUAGAAACUUUCCCCCAGCAUGUCUUUCUGCAGCUUGCCGUCUGAAUUUGCACCCUUAAAGCAGGCAUUUUGCAACCAGCUGUAUCUUUCUGUUUUCCAACUGGCAGAUAUUUUAUUUCUUCUUAUGUUUUCCCUCAGUUUCCAGCUGGUAGGUAUUCUAACACCUCUAAUGUUUUCCCUCAGUUUUCAGCUUCCCAUUGCCAAACAGAUGGCAUGUUCUCACAUUUACACAACAAAUCCUAAUGUUCUUUCGGUUAUACCAAUACACAAUAGGAGUGACACUUCUGCAUCUAAGAGAGUUCAGGCUAUGUCAAAGAGGUAUUUGCAAUGGAAAAAAAUGAGGCCCACAAACAUAAGGAGUUAUGAGUAUACAAAAUACACAGAAUUUAAUUUGACUUACAGAAUUUAACUUGACUGAAAGAAAACAAGCACUUCAGAAAUUAAUGUAUAACUAUUGUAGAAUAGUAUCAUCUUUUUGUGGGUUUUUUGAGACACCCUGUUGCAUUUUAUAGCAUUACUUCAGCACUUUCUGUUUUCCUUCUGUUCUAGCAGACUUUUUGAUAGGACUUACACACUCUGAAAAUCCAGUAACAUUGGAAUGGAACCAUUUAAUUCUCUGGUGCCAAAGAGUGCUCAAGGUCGAUGUGUGCAAUUAUUUUUGCUUUUUCAUUAGGAACAGCACAUCCAGACCAAAACCAACAGAUGCCCUUAGCCACCUGACUGAGAAAUUUUAGAUGGGAUCAUCCCACAUGGGCAACUUCAGCUUCCUGGGCUGAAAGCCGAAGAUGCUAAUGUAAAAAGCAAGAAAAAAUAAGAAUGCGAGCAACAAAAAAAAUCCAUUUAAAUCUCACGGAUCAGGGUCCUCUUAAAAAUGCUUAACCAAUAGGCAUGAAAUACAGCAUUUUGACUCUAAAAUGAACAGGAUGAGAAAUAAAGCAAAAAUAUCACUGUAACUAUGAGCUCCCACAGAUUUCAAUGUCUGGGUAUUCAGCAUGAAAACAGAAAAAAACCAGACUUUCAAAUUCAUUCUCUCAUCUGUAUUUCAGUAACAAGUGCUCUGUGAUAAUCAACUAUUAGAAACACACUCGACUGAUAGCAAUCAAUAAUAAUUGUAUUUAUUCAGUUGAUA